This 498-nucleotide ribosomal RNA is filed under the name uncultured Sphingobacteriales bacterium. RNAcentral's name for it is "bacterial SSU rRNA". It matches the Rfam family "Bacterial small subunit ribosomal RNA", at positions 903 to 1382 of the family's 1533-position model. The record is from RNAcentral. Lineage: Bacteria; Pseudomonadati; Bacteroidota; Sphingobacteriia; Sphingobacteriales.
GCCAGCCCGCUCAGAAAACUUAAAGGAAUUGACGGGGGCCCGCACAAGCGGUGGAGCAUGUGGUUUAAUUCGAUGAUACGCGAGGAACCUUACCUGGGCUCAAAUGUAUGUUGACGUAUUCUGAAAGGGAUACUUCUUCGGACAAUAUACAAGGUGCUGCAUGGUUGUCGUCAGCUCGUGCCGUGAGGUGUCGGGUUAAGUCCCAUAACGAGCGCAACCCCUAUCAUUAGUUGCCAUCAGGUCAAGCUGGGGACUCUAAUGAAACUGCCUACGCAAGUAGUGAGGAAGGUGGGGAUGACGUCAAAUCAGCACGGCCCUUACGUCCUGGGCUACACACGUGCUACAAUGGCCGGUACAGAGCGCAGCGAGGCCGCGAGGCGGAGCGAAUCGCUUAAAGCCGGUCCCAGUACGGAUUGGAGUCUGCAACCCGACUCCAUGAAGUUGGAAUCGCUAGUAAUCGCGCAUCAGCAUGGCGCGGUGAAUACGUUCCCGGGCCUU